This is a long non-coding RNA of Sarcophilus harrisii (Tasmanian devil), 988 nucleotides long. RefSeq lists it as uncharacterized. NCBI's taxonomy places the organism in Eukaryota, Metazoa, Chordata, Mammalia, Dasyuromorphia, Dasyuridae. The record is from RefSeq and is a predicted model, not a curated record. The transcript is spliced from 4 exons.
AAAGCAAUAGGCAUCAUGAGCUCCUACAGGAUCCGGUCUUUUUCUUCUUCCUCUGAUUCUGACCAAACACCUUGCGCUCCUUUGACCCUAAAUAAUUAGUGGUUAGUCUCUGACUUCACCAAACUGUUACUGUAUCAUAAUACCUUUAAAUCUUCCUCUCACUUAAGGAACAGCUGGACACCGCCUUUUUGUCGGUUGGCUGCACAUGGAGAAAGAGCAUCAGAGAGUGCCUAACAAAGUGUCUGGACUUCACGUCUCUUACCAAACUAACUCAGCACAACUGGCAGAGAACAGAUCUUACAGCUAUCUCCACGAAGAGCCUAUGGAUUUGCCUGAAAGUCUACAAGAGCUCUUCUGGGAGAAGUCCACCUAAAGGAAGACAAGAUAAAGCCCGGCCUGGCUUGCCAGAGGACAGGGACCUGGACAGUACAGAGCCAGGGUGAAAUGCACAACGCCAUUGGGCAGCCCUGAUCACCUCCCAGAAGCAUCUAAAGGAAGUUUCAAAGGUUGCUGGAUCAGCUUUUCUGUCCAUGUGCACUUCUGGCUCUAAGGCAGGACACAGCUCAGAUCACAAGAUGCUAUAAAAUCAAGAGACAAGGAAUAACAUGGACAGGGUACAUAAAAGCCAUAAUAUCGGGCAGCAUCCAGUUUGAAAUGCCAACACAAGCCAACAUCCCAAACUACAAUGGUAGAUGGGGACGGGGGAAAGGUCUUAAUUAUGGGAAAGUGGUAUUAGCAGAUUAGGCAGCAUUCAAAUGGAUUUGGCAAUCACAAAAUGUCAUCUUUAGGUUCUUGUAAGGAAGGGAAAAUCCUACUUCCAAACCAAUUCAAUGUAGCUUAAAGGCAAAAAAUAAAAAAUACAAAACAGGAGAUAUUUCAUUAUUUUUAUUUUUUGUAAAUAAGGAUGAAAAGUGAAGAAAGAAGAAAUAAGGAACAAGCUGGGAGAAGCCUUGAUUGCACCUGGGGAAACUUCAAACCAACCUGUCAC